AAUAAUACGGAGAAGAAGACAAGUUUAUUGAAGUUGAUUCCUAAGAGAGCUGAUGGUUGGUGCGAAUCAGUGAAUCAUACAAUAAAUAGCACUUCAGAGUAGGUAGAUUGAAUAAUAGUAGAUCUACACGUGAUGCACGUUACGCAUAAUCCAAUGAAGGCUGUUUUUUGACAGCAAAACCAGGGUGGUACCGCGGAUAAUACAACUUUUCGCCCCUUAC
This 220-nucleotide non-coding RNA is filed under the name Paraliobacillus sp. PM-2. RNAcentral's name for it is "T-box". It matches the Rfam family "T-box leader". Rfam says of the family: Uncharged tRNA acts as the effector for transcription antitermination of genes in the T-box leader family. Lineage: Bacteria; Bacillati; Bacillota; Bacilli; Caryophanales; Bacillaceae. The record is from RNAcentral. RNAcentral also lists the same sequence under 1 other name.